AUGAGUCUCCUUAGCUGGAACUGCCGGGGUCUGGGGCAACCCCGGACAGUUCAGGAGCUCGUGUGCUUGGUGCACACUCAUCGCCCAAAGAUUGUCUUCUUGUCCGAGACGCGGCAAUGUGAAGAGAAGGUGAAAGGAAUCAAGUGGAGACUGGGUCUGAAGCACUGCCUUUCUCAUGAUGGUAAGGGUAAGGGUGCGGGCAUUGCCUUGUACUGGGAU
RNAcentral lists this ribosomal RNA (219 nucleotides) under Triticum aestivum (bread wheat). RNAcentral describes it as "partial small subunit ribosomal RNA". The record is from RNAcentral. Lineage: Eukaryota; Viridiplantae; Streptophyta; Magnoliopsida; Poales; Poaceae.